Molecule: small nuclear RNA, 104 nt
Organism: Bombina bombina (fire-bellied toad)
Lineage: Eukaryota; Metazoa; Chordata; Amphibia; Anura; Bombinatoridae
Source: RefSeq, a predicted model, not a curated record
GUGUUCACUUCGGCAGCACACAUACUAAAAUUGGAUCGACACAGAAAAGAUUAGCAUGGCCCCUGCGCAUAUAUGAUUUUGAAUAUGUAACUCCACAUAGUGUU